This 253-nucleotide ribosomal RNA is filed under the name uncultured bacterium. RNAcentral describes it as "partial 16S ribosomal RNA". It matches the Rfam family "Bacterial small subunit ribosomal RNA", at positions 524 to 776 of the family's 1533-position model. The record is from RNAcentral.
GACGAACCGUGCAAACGUUAUUCGGAAUCACUGGGCAUAAAGGGCGCGUAGGCGGCUUUCUAAGUCAGGGGUGAAAUCCGGCAGCUCAACUGUCGCAGUGCCUUUGAUACUGGAGAGCUCGAGGGAGGUAGGGGUCUGUGGAACUUCCGGUGGAGCGGUGAAAUGCGUUGAUAUCGGAAGGAACGCCGGUGGCGAGAGCGACGGACUGGAUCUCUUCUGACGCUGAGGCGCGAAAGCCAGGGGAGCAAACGGG